This 213-nucleotide unclassified non-coding RNA is filed under the name Hevea brasiliensis (rubber tree). The record is from RNAcentral. Lineage: Eukaryota; Viridiplantae; Streptophyta; Magnoliopsida; Malpighiales; Euphorbiaceae.
UGUCUGUCGAUGGCACCCUCAGCCACGAUGAUGAUGUUCAGCCUUGAGCCACCCAAACGGGUCUCCGUGAGCCUUCGGCACAAGUGGUCCUCCCAGCCAUCCUCAGGGGGGGACUCGGGGAUGAAGACCCAGUCAGCACCGCAGGCCAGGGAGGUGAUGAGAGCCAGGUAGCCGCAGUGACGACCCAUCACUUCCAGCACAAACGUCCUCUGG